This 936-nucleotide ribosomal RNA is filed under the name Triticum aestivum (bread wheat). RNAcentral's name for it is "partial small subunit ribosomal RNA". Lineage: Eukaryota; Viridiplantae; Streptophyta; Magnoliopsida; Poales; Poaceae. The record is from RNAcentral.
AUGACGACCCGCGUGCCCGCCGGGACGUGGUGCCCGAGUAUCUCGGCGUCGUUUUGUGGCUCUCGGGGCACGAGAGAGCGGGAUCGGUGGGUGCAGGCGUACCGUCUCCUUGACCACGGCCUUGAGGUAGUGCAGCUUGUCGAUGUGGCCCUCGGUGAUGACGUGCGCGGAGCCACCGACGGCCGCCCUGAGCUCGUCCUGGACCUUACGCAUGCUGUCCGGAUGCGUGAUGAGCUCCGCCAUGGCCCACUCCAUUGCCGUGCUCGUGGUGUCCGUGCCCGCCGCGAACAUGUCCUGCGCGUCCACAUGUCAAGCAUGAACAAAACAAGCGCCGUGACAUGGCACCGAGAUGACAACACGUACCAGGAUGAUGGCCUUGAUUUCGGUCGUGCUGAGCCGCAUGCCAGCUUCGUUGUCGGUCUCGUUCACGUCCAACAACACGUCCACGAAAUCCCUGUGAUGGCCGCCGUCAUCUCGAGUCUGCUGGCCGGCUUGACGCCGGCGGCGGCGGUCGUCGAUCACCUUCUCGAGCACGCCGUCGAGCGCCUUGAACGUCCGUCUGAUCUUCCCCUCCAUCCCCAUCAGGGCGUCCAACCACCCCAGCCACGGCAGGAGCUCCCCCACAGGCGCCGUGCCGAGCAGCUCCUGGAAGUCGUUGAACACCUUCCUCAGCUCGCGUCCCUUGUUGCCUUCCUCGUACAGGCUGCGCGCGCUGUCGUCCCCGAACGCGGCGCGCGAGACCACCGUGUUGGCGUAGGCGACGAGGAACUCACACAGGUCCAGUCCACGACGGCGCCGCCCGCCGCCGCUCCGCGGACGCGCUCGACCAGCGCGGCGGCCUCCUCUUCCCGGACGCUGCGGAAGGAGAGAAUGCGGAGCGGGCUGAGGAGGUGGACCACGCACACGCGGCGCGCCUGGCGCCAGUACUCGCCGUAG